UACGGAGGGAGCUAGCGUUGUUCGGAAUUACUGGGCGUAAAGCGCGCGUAGGCGGCUUUAUAAGUCGGGGGUGAAAGCCUGUGGCUCAACCACAGAAUUGCCUUCGAUACUGUAGAGCUUGAGACCGGAAGAGGUAAGUGGAACUGCGAGUGUAGAGGUGAAAUUCGUAGAUAUUCGCAAGAACACCAGUGGCGAAGGCGGCUUACUGGUCCGGUUCUGACGCUGAGGCGCGAAAGCGUGGGGAGCAAACAGG
Molecule: ribosomal RNA, 253 nt
Filed under: uncultured bacterium
Lineage: Bacteria
Description: partial 16S ribosomal RNA
Rfam family: Bacterial small subunit ribosomal RNA
Source: RNAcentral